AUCGCAUGAUCCGGUGUGAAAAACUCCGGUGGUAUGAGAUGGACCCGCGUCUGAUUAGCCAGUUGGCAGGGUAACGGCCUACCAAAGCGACGAUCAGUAGCCGACCUGAGAGGGUGACCGGCCACAUUGGGACUGAGACACGGCCCAAACUCCUACGGGAGGCAGCAGUGGGGAAUAUUGCACAAUGGGGGAAACCCUGAUGCAGCGACGCCGCGUGAGCGAAGAAGUAUUUCGGUAUGUAAAGCUCUAUCAGCAGGGAAGAAGAAUGACGGUACCUGACUAAGAAGCACCGGCUAAAUACGUGCCAGCAGCCGCGGUAAUACGUAUGGUGCGAGCGUUAUCCGGAUUUACUGGGUGUAAAGGGAGCGCAGGCGGUGCGGCAAGUCUGAUGUGAAAGCCCGGGGCUCAACCCCGGUACUGCAUUGGAAACUGUCGUACUAGAGUGUCGGAGGGGUAAGUGGAAUUCCUAGUGUAGCGGUGAAAUGCGUAGAUAUUAGGAGGAACACCAGUGGCGAAGGCGGCUUACUGGACGAUAACUGACGCUGAGGCUCGAAAGCGUGGGGAGCAAACAGGAUUAGAUACCCUGGUAGUCCACGCCGUA
Molecule: ribosomal RNA, 601 nt
Filed under: uncultured bacterium
Lineage: Bacteria
Description: bacterial SSU rRNA
Rfam family: Bacterial small subunit ribosomal RNA
Source: RNAcentral